GGUAUUAUAUUUUAUAAAGAAAAUAUGAUUUGCAUUCAUAAAGAAAGAUUACUAUCUUUAAUUCCU
RNAcentral lists this transfer RNA (66 nucleotides) under Sepia officinalis (common cuttlefish). Its description in RNAcentral is "tRNA-Ala". Lineage: Eukaryota; Metazoa; Mollusca; Cephalopoda; Sepiida; Sepiidae. The record is from RNAcentral.